This is a long non-coding RNA of Aplysia californica (California sea hare), 575 nucleotides long. RefSeq lists it as uncharacterized. Lineage: Eukaryota; Metazoa; Mollusca; Gastropoda; Aplysiida; Aplysiidae. The transcript is spliced from 2 exons. The record is from RefSeq and is a predicted model, not a curated record.
CGAGGUUAUAUAAGUGCCGAAGAUUAGAGGUGUGCAAGAAAGUAAUGAUAAAAAAAGACUCAUAAGAAGAGAUAAGGACGGUGCAUGCUCAAUAGGGAAGAAGGAGCAAAUCCCACCAGAGCUGCCGCCAACCACUCACUCAUAACAUGUGAACCACGAAAAAUCAAAGAGAACAGAUAGAUAAAAGAAGUACAUACCCACACACGACGUGGUCCAUGAGCACUAGCACAUUAAAGAAGACAGCAGAAGUUUGAUGGGUAGGUGUAAAAGUACGCUCAAGGCCUACUACUUCUGUCUCUCAAUAUUACUUUAACCCUGCUUGCUUGUUCCUGUCGAAAAAUAACCGGCACUGACUGACUCGUCGCAAAGAACAGCCCAACAACUCAAACGACCACGGCCACAGAUGAAGGGAGUGACCAAAUAUUGUCAGCAGAUGGAUGGAGGGUGUCACAGACGGAUCCUACUUCUUUACUUUUCCUCUGCUGAACCCCGCUUGCUUAUUACAAUUUAAUACUUUAAUGGCGGUUGUCGCUUCUCCUUAUUAACUCACUAGAAUCAAGCAAGUAACCUUAAAA